GACGAACGCUGGCGGCGUGCUUAACACAUGCAAGUCGAACGGAAAGGCCCUGCUUUUGUGGGGUGCUCGAGUGGCGAACGGGUGAGUAACACGUGAGUAACCUGCCCUUGACUUUGGGAUAACUUCAGGAAACUGGGCUAAUACCGGAUAGGAGCUCCUGCUGCAUGGUGGGGGUUGGAAAGUUUCGGCGGUUGGGGAUGGACUCGCGGCUUAUCAGCUUGUUGGUGGGGUAGUGGCUUACCAAGGCUUUGACGGGUAGCCGGCCUGAGAGGGUGACCGGCCACAUUGGGACUGAGAUACGGCCCAGACUCCUACGGGAGGCAGCAGUGGGGAAUAUUGCACAAUGGGCGGAAGCCUGAUGCAGCAACGCCGCGUGCGGGAUGACGGCCUUCGGGUUGUAAACCGCUUUCGCCUGUGACGAAGCGUGAGUGACGGUAAUGGGUAAAGAAGCACCGGCUAACUACGUGCCAGCAGCCGCGGUGAUACGUAGGGUGCGAGCGUUGUCCGGAUUUAUUGGGCGUAAAGGGCUCGUAGGUGGUUGAUCGCGUCGGAAGUGUAAUCUUGGGGCUUAACCCUGAGCGUGCUUUCGAUACGGGUUGACUUGAGGAAGGUAGGGGAGAAUGGAAUUCCUGGUGGAGCGGUGGAAUGCGCAGAUAUCAGGAGGAACACCAGUGGCGAAGGCGGUUCUCUGGGCCUUUCCUGACGCUGAGGAGCGAAAGCGUGGGGAGCGAACAGGCUUAGAUACCCUGGUAGUCCACGCUGUAAACGGUGGGUACUAGGUGUGGGGUCCAUUCCACGGGUUCCGUGCCGUAGCUAACGCUUUAAGUACCCCGCCUGGGGAGUACGGCCGCAAGGCUAAAACUCAAAGGAAUUGACGGGGCCCCGCACAAGCGGCGGAGCAUGCGGAUUAAUUCGAUGCAACGCGUAGAACCUUACCUGGGUUUGACAUGGAUCGGGAGUGCUCAGAGAUGGGUGUGCCUCUUUUGGGGUCGGUUCACAGGUGGUGCAUGCCUGUCGUCAGCUCGUGUCGUGAGAUGUUGGGUUAAGUCCCGCAACGAGCGCAACCCUUGUUCACUGUUGCCAGCACGUUAUGGUGGGGACUCAGUGGAGACCGCCGGGGUCAACUCGGAGGAAGGUGGGGAUGACGUCAAGUCCUCAUGCCCCUUAUGUCCAGGGCUUCACGCAUGCUACAAUGGCUGGUACAGAGAGUGGCGAGCCUGUGAGGGUGAGCGAAUCUCGGAAAGCCGGUCUCAGUUCGGAUUGGGGUCAGCAACUCGACCUCAUGAAGUCGGAGUCGCUAGUAAUCGCAGAUCAGCAACGCUGCGGUGAAUACGUUCCCGGGGCU
This 1345-nucleotide ribosomal RNA is filed under the name uncultured bacterium. RNAcentral describes it as "bacterial SSU rRNA". It matches the Rfam family "Bacterial small subunit ribosomal RNA", at positions 28 to 1381 of the family's 1533-position model. The record is from RNAcentral.